Molecule: ribosomal RNA, 390 nt
Filed under: Cephalophus sp. PG-2014
Lineage: Eukaryota; Metazoa; Chordata; Mammalia; Artiodactyla; Bovidae
Description: partial 12S ribosomal RNA
Rfam family: Bacterial small subunit ribosomal RNA
Source: RNAcentral
UUAGCCCUAAACACAAAUAAUUAUAAAAACAAAAUUAUUCGCCAGAGUACUACCGGCAACGGCCUAAAACUCAAAGGACUUGGCGGUGCUUUACACCCUUCUAGAGGAGCCUGUUCUAUAAUCGAUAAACCCCGAUAAACCUCACCAAUUCUUGCUAAUACAGUCUAUAUACCGCCAUCUUCAGCAAACCCUAAAAAGGAAUAAAAGUAAGCAUAAUCAUAACACAUAAAAACGUUAGGUCAAGGUGUAACCUAUGAACUGGGAAGAAAUGGGCUACAUUUUCUACCACAAGAAAAUCACACGAAAGUUAUUAUGAAACUAAUAACCAAAGGAGGAUUUAGUAGUAAACUAAGAAUAGAGUGCUUAGUUGAAUUAGGCCAUGAAGCACGC